This is an RNA transcript of Doryrhamphus excisus (bluestripe pipefish), 9833 nucleotides long. It is a transcript of the gene named myosin phosphatase Rho interacting protein a, with no coding region annotated. NCBI's taxonomy places the organism in Eukaryota, Metazoa, Chordata, Actinopteri, Syngnathiformes, Syngnathidae. The record is from RefSeq and is a predicted model, not a curated record.
CUCCUCCCCAUCGCUGUAUCGACUGGAUGUCCGGCCAAAGGCAGCAUUUUGGCGAAAACAUCCAACUCAAGCUGCGCAAAACCAAUGGAGUCAAUUGUGUGACAGUCGUGUUGAUCAUUGGUGGCGUAUUUUGGAAAAUGUUGGAUAAUGUCCGACCCUGAGACGAAGCCGUACGAAUGCGCGACCACUCGUUAAGAUAAGAACCGGAGGAGGAGGAGAACUCCCUCGGUAAGUUGGUGUCGUUUCCCCACACGAUGGAGGCUGACGGGACCCUUAGCAGCGAGCUAGAGGACCGCUGUGCCACCAGCGUCAUGUCGACGCCUCUUUGAGCAAUUAAGUACUACAAAUUGCGCACAUCUGCGCUUGUCGACAACUUAAAAAGAAAAGCGAGCUUACAAUAUGGCCAUAACAGAGCUGACCAUAUGACCUAAAGGGCACGCGAACCCGGAGUUCUAGAAAGUUGUAUUUCUGCCUUUAAAAAAAAAACGACAUUUCAUCAAGUCUCGCCUUUUCUGAGCAACAUGUCAUUCAAAGAGAACCCCUGUCGGAAAUUCCAAGCAAACAUUUUCAACAAGAGCAAAUGUCAAAACUGUUUCAAGCCCCGAGAGUCGCACCUGCUCAACGACGAAGACCUCAACCAGGCGAAACCUAUUUAUGGAGGAUGGCUGCUCCUUGCACCAGAGGGAACCAAUUUUGACAAUCCUUUACACCGAUCUCGGAAAUGGCAAAGGAGGUUCUUCAUCCUGUAUGAACAUGGCUUACUUCGCUAUGCUUUGGAUGAAAUGCCGAGCACUCUUCCCCAGGGCACAAUCAAUAUGAACCAAUGCUCUGAUGUCAUCGAUGGAGAGUCCAGGACAGGUCAAAAGAACUCUUUGUGCAUACUGACUCCUGAAAAAGAGCACUUCAUUCGUGCUGAGUGUAAAGAAAUCAUCAACGGUUGGCAGGAAGCUCUGACUGUGUACCCCAGAACAAACAAGCAGAAUCAGAAGAAAAAGCGCAAGGUGGAUCCACCCACUCAGCAGGGUGGAGUAACUACAAUCCAGUGUUUUUCCAUUGAGGACAUGAAUGGACACCCAUGUUGUUGUGACCGUGCCUCCCAUUUCUUCCUCUCCUCCUCCCUUCCACUCCUUCCAUCCCAAACCCCUAUUCAGGAGCCGGGUCCCGCCAAGGUGACAGUGACCAGCGGCGGCGGCGGCGGCAGCAUUCCAUGCCUCCCCAGCAGCAUUGCCAGUGCUGAGCAUGUACCAAUGAGCCGUGCAACUUUGUGGCAGGAGGAGCAUCGUUGGAGUCGAGCCACCAUCCCAUGCAGCCGCAGCGCCUCAUGUCUCAGCCAGCUUGGCCAGAGCCAACCAGACUCCACUAUCACUAUUCAAGAUGAUGGUGGCACAAUGAGCUCUGGGCGCAAAGUGCGAGUGGAGAGUGGUUACUUUUCCCUGGAGAAGACCAAGUCUGAGCCCUCUCCACAACCACUGCAGCCACCCCACAAUCUGCCCCUGUCCUCAUCAACAUCCUCCUGUUCCUUAGGAGCUGCUAGUCCAAGGUACAACUCUGAGGCCGAACCCCCGAUUUGCCCCUAUCCCCACUCCCAAGACCCUCUCCCCUCUCCAGGUGCCCUUGUGUCCCCCAGCUACUCCACCAUCAGCUCCUCCCAGAGCUCAUUGGACUCUGAACACAGCAGUGCUACUCCCACCUGGGAGGGACACAGCGGUGGUGGAGGGAGCAUUGCUAGUGUAAGUAGUGGAGGGGGUAGAGUUGGUCGUUCAGGCAGGGAGUAUGCGGCGCUGUCAGAUGUGCCGCGGGCUCGCAGGCUGACCUACCGCGAAGCCUUUCAUUCUGAGAAAAAGCGCCAAGAGCUUAGAGCACGCACACGGAGUCCUGGAAGAGAAGAGGUGGCUCGGCUGUUUGGGGAGGAGCGCAGGCGUUCCCAAGUCAUCGGCCGAUUUGAAGAGAGUCCAAAUGUGGAGCGCAUGGACACAUGCAACUCCAGCGAGCUGUCAUCAAGGGUCAACAAUGUACAGCGACAAGGUCGCAGUGAGAGACGCUAUGUGGACAAACAUGACAUGUCACUGGAUGCAGGAAAGGACCCUGAUGUGUCCAGCUCGACUUUUGCAAACUCAAGAAGGGCCAAGUCACUUGACCGCAGAGUCACUGAGUCCUCAAUGACUCCAGAUCUGCUGAACUUCAAAAAAGGAUGGAUGACCAAGCUGUAUGAAGAUGGAAUGUGGAAGAAACAUUGGUUUGUUCUCACAGAUCAGAGUCUGAGGUACUACAAGGACUCAAUAGCUGAGGAGGCUUCACAACUAGAUGGUGAAAUUGAUCUGUCAACAUGUUAUGAUGUCAAAGAGUUUCCCGUCCAGAGGAAUUAUGGCUUCCAAAUCCUGUGUAAAGAAGGAGCGUGCACCCUGUCAGCCAUGACCUCCGGAAUCCGGCGCAACUGGAUUCAGGCCAUCAUGAAGAAUGCUCGACCCACCAUUGCCCCCGAUGUCACUCGGAAAAACAUCUCACUGAAACUAUCCGUACUGAAGCCCAGAUCUUUCCCUGAAGAGAAGAUAAAAGCUCAGGUGUUGCUGGACUCUUGUCCACAGAUCACAUCUGAGCCCAGCCCCUGUCUUGAGCCAAAGACCGAUGGCCACAGGCAGCCAACUGGCAGCAGUGCCUCCACGCCUCCCUCCGAGCCUCGGAAAAGCAGGGUCCGCGAGCGCCGACGGGAGGGCCGCUCAAAGACUUUUGACUGGUCUGAGUUCAAAAUCGAAAAGACAGACAAGCCCGUGAAGGAGCGAGCAGACACAGUUGACCUCAGUUCAUCCCUUUCCACAACCUCCACCUCUUGCUGCUCCAUUUCCUCUUCUCCUUCCUCGUCGUCAUCCUCUCCUGUGUCUACCUCGGCCCUUCAAUCCUCCUGCAUCUCAGACACUCACCCGCCCUCGACAAUGGAACUUACGGAAAAGAAUAACAGGAGGGGCACAGUUGGUGCAAACCACUUGCCAAAUACUGAUACUGUCACUUCCACGUUAAACACGACAUCGCCAGCGCAGCCACCCAUACCUGAACGUCAAGAGCAAGGAAAGAUGGAGGUUGACCACCUUACCGCCAUUCACAAUGUGGAGGAAGAUAAGUUCACAGGAACCUCAGGGGUGCAGGAAGAGAUUGAACAGCGAUGGCAUCAGGUUGAAACAACACCUCUAAGGGAAGAGAAGCAGGUGCCCAUCGCCUCUGCGUCAGGGAACCCGGAUAGAUUGCCUCCACAUGAGCUCGCUGCACUGCUAGACAAAGAGCUGGGACAGAAGCAGAAAGAACUGGACCAACUGCAGAGACAGAACAGGCUUUUAAAAGAGCAGCUGGAAGAUGCACUGGGAAAAGAACACAGUGCCAGAGAGGGCUAUGUCCUUCAGAACACAACACCCCCUUCCUCCUCGCCACACAGAAUGCCAUGGAAACACUUGCACAAGCUCAACCAAGACUUGCAGAGCGAAUUACAGUCCCAAAAACGCAAACAGGACCUCACUGAAAAGCAGAUUCAGACACUAAAGAGAAGCUACACUGAAGCCCAGGAUGCAGUAGACCACCACGAGGCCGAUAUCCAGGCCCUGCAGGCUAAGUUGGCAUCUGCACUGGCUGAAAUCUUGGCAAGUGAACAAGCUGUGGCCCGCAUGCGCAAUGAACUCAAGCUGGAACAAGAACGUUCAAAGGAACAAGAGGAGGCGCAUGGGCACAGCGAGGCCACCUUGCGAGCCCAGCUUAAGGACAGUGAAGAUAGACUCCGUGAAGUAGAGGCCAGCCUUUUAGAGCGGAACCAGGCCCUUAGGCAUUUGGAGCACCAGCAGGCCUUGCAGCGAGACCACACCAGAGAGAUGCAGAGAUUACAGGAGAAACUACAAGAGGUGACUGCGAGGCUCGUUGCUACAGAGGAAGGUCAGGCGCUGAAGGAAGAACGGCUGAGAAAAGAGCAGCAUAGCAUUCAGGAGAGUCACGAGAGGGAAAGACAAAAUCUGUGUAGGAGAAUAGCCGAAGCUGAAACGGCACAGAAAAGCACGGAGGGCCGGCUGCUCGAGGCCGAACAGCAAGUGGAGGCCCUACUCAGAGGGAAGCAGGCUUCAGCAGGAGUUGAAUACAGGCAGGAAAUGCUAAAGGUCCAAGAGGAGCUUGCCCAGAAGACCAACACGGUAGAGUCACUGAGGGAGAGUGUACGCAGGCUAGAAGAAGAGAGAGGUUUGCUCACAUGCAGAUGUCAGGAGCUCCUUAACCAAAUUGCAGAGGCGGACCGAGAGGUCAACAAGCUUCAAAAUCGCCUGGAAACGGAAGAGGCAGAUUACUGCUCUCUGGAGAACUCUUACGAGAGGGCCACCCAGGAGUUUCAGAGAAUGAGCCAAUUCCUCCGAGAGAAAGAGGAAGAGAUCCGGCAGACGAAGGAAAUGUAUGAAAGACUGAUGCAACGCAAAGAGGAGGACCUGAGAGAGGCACUUGUUAAAAUGACUGUACUUGGCAACAGCUUGGAGGAAACUGAACAGAAGCUGCAAGCAAAGGAAGACCUUCUUUGUCAAAUGAGUGGAGAUCUGGUGGAGAAAGUUAAGCUAGGCAGUGCUGAACAAGAUCUUAAAGCCAAGCUUGUGGUGGCAGAGGACCGCAUCGCAGAGCUUGAGCAGCACCUCAGUGAUUUGCAACUGGGAUACGCUGAUCUACACUCAGGGAGGAAACAAGUCCAAGAACCGAGCAAACGGGAACGUGUUAUUUCUUCACACAAUGCGGCUAAAAUGGAAAACUCAACAGAUGACAAGGAGUCUCAAGCUAAAAGGCCAAGAAUCCGUUUUUCUAAUAUCCAAUGCCAAAAAUACAUCGACUUGGAUGACCCAGAGGGUUGCCAUAUGGGCAGUACACUUGACGAUACCAGACAAGUAGAUAACCAGAAAGACUUUGAUCUAGCUGAAGCACUUUCUCCCCCAGAUACCCCGUUCCCACAUGCUAGCGACUCUGAGAAGUUUAUCUCCAUUGUACAUGCUCUAGAAACUAAACUGCUCACUACUGAGGAAAAACUGAGAAAUCUAACUAGGAAUCUACAGGAGCAGCAUCCCAUCCAUACUGAAGAUGUGUCCAAGAAAGAUCUCAAUUUGGUUGAGAUCAAAGAUUUAAAAUGUGCCUGUGGGCCGUCUGUAAACAAUCCCUAUGCAAAGGCCCUGCAAUGUGUGGAAACCAGUCGAAAUAAAGUCAAGGCUAUUCUAUCCGGCGCUCACGAUACCGCUGAUUCACAGCUUCACUCACUGUCGGAGGUUGAAAAUGAGCUGUUCAGUGCCUCAGUGUAUAUCCUCCAUGGGCAAAAGACCUUGGAAGAACCAUCACCCGCACCCCGUCAGACGUCAGAAUCUUUAGAUAAAGAUGCAAUUGAUCUCUUUGCCAAGACACUUUCUUUUGAGGCACUUGUUUUGAAUAAAAUGGCUUUGCUGGUUCACUCCUCCGAGUCUGACCUUGUCCAGACGCUGACUGCAAUAUGGGAGGACAUAGAGAACAUUAAAAGCGAAGACAAAGAUUGUUUAGCUAUAGUUUAUGCUGAUGUCUUGACCAGGAAGUUGAUGUUGGAGAAUGCGUUCUGGAAGGAACUUGAGAAAGAGGCGACACCGUGUGAAGGUUCGAAUGUUUCCAAAUCACAGGAGUCCAGUGUUGCAGCUGAUGCAGACAUAAACACAUCAGCUAUAUUUAAUACCUUAAUCAAAGCAGAACUGUCCUACUCCGUUCAAAAUCUCAAGCUUUGCUACGAAGAGAAAUUCAGGCAACUUAAAGCGGAGCUGGCUGAAGCUCAUCACAAUCUGCAGCAAAGAGAAAUUGCCUUGAAGGCGAUUAUUGAAGCCUCCAAAAGGUCCGAUUUGAAAAGUGUGAUCAAAGAAGUUAAAAGCAACUUUGGCUUCGGCAAACAAAAGUUGGCUGAUAUUUGCCCGCCUGAACUUGCCCCGUACACAGAGCAGAUCGAACUGCAAGAUGCCCGUGAGCUUGCCGAAAAAAUCAUAGAACGACAUUUUGCCGAGCAAGUCCCAUCCUGUGGUGUUGAGUCCAUGGAGUCUCUUCAAGAUGCCCAUGACAGCUUGGUGACCGAGCUCCAACACCAAGCGGCGAAGCUCUAUAAGUACGCUGAAGAAAUACAAAGAAGUGGUAACCAUCCUGAACUAGCUAAAAUGGUUAACGCACUCGUGGGGCCCCAAACAUCUCAUAUCUUCACAAGUACCUCUAUUUGUAUGCGAGAAGCCCUCAUCCAGGCUCAGGUGGCUUAUGUGGCGUGCCGAUUACGCUCCAUGCAUGACCGAAACGUGGGUUGGUGUAAACAAGCGCAUCAGAACAUGGACAUCCUGGUGCAUCAGCAUGCCUGCAGCAUCAGGACCAUCCAUGAGAAGUACCAAACAUCCCUUCAGGAGGAGCGUCACAACUUCUCUCAAACACUGGCCAUUCUCCAGAAGGAGAACAAAACUCUCAAGAGUGAAGUCAGCCAACGUUCUAACCAACUCUCACAACAGCAAGAGAAGCUGGUGCUCCUGGAAGAACGCUUUAAGAUGCAAACUGAGGAGUUGAAGCAGAAGCACAAGCAAGAGCUGAACCUCGCUGAGAAAGACCGGGCCUCAACAGAGUUGGCCCUGGUGGAGGCCACGGCGGACAGCCAGCAGCAACUGAAGGAUCUGCUGUUGGACAUGAACACCAUGAAGAAGCAGCACCAGAGUCACGUGAGAAAGUUGGAGGAACAAUUUGAGCAGAAAAUCUCUCAGCUUGAGCACAUCUACAAAGAGGAGAUUGUCGAGGUUCAGUCCCAGAAUGAGGACACCAUUUGUAAUGCCCAAGAAGAAGAAGACCCUGAGGUGUCCCACCAGGCUUCUUUUGAGGCCUUAGCGCCGAUGGAAGAGGAGGAACAAGGGAGCAAGUGGGGUGUACAGAUCAUGUCGGAGGUGGACACCAUGGUCCUUCUGAAGGACAGGAUCCAGGAACUGGAGACUCAGAUGAACAGCAUGAGGGACGAACUAGAGAACAAGCACCUGGAAGGAGAUGUGGCCAGCCUGAGGGAGAAAUACCAGAGAGACUUUGAAAGUCUUAAGGCCACGUGCGAGCGCGGCUUUGCAGCAAUGGAAGAAACCCAUCAGAAGGUAGUUGACGACCUCCAGAGGCAGCAUCAGAGGGAGAUUUCCAAACUGGUAGAAGAGCGAGAGAGGCUUCUGGCCGAGGAGACUGCUGCCACCAUCGCUGCUAUUGAAGCUAUGAAGAACGCACACAAGGAGGAGCUGGAGAAGACCCAGCGCUCCCAGCUCAGUGGACUGAACUCUGAUAUCGAUGAGCUGCGAUUACAAUACGAGGAGGAGCUGCAGUCCAUCCAGAGGGAGCUGGAGGUUCUCUCUGAGCAGUAUUCUCAGAAAUGUCUGGAGAACGCCCAUCUGGCUCAGGCCCUGGAGGCCGAGAGGCAGGCCCUCAGGCAGUGUCAGAGAGAGAACCAGGAGCUCAACACCCACAACCAGGAACUGAAUAACCGCCUGUCCGCAGAGAUCACGCGUAUGCGCUCGUGUUUCAGCGGCGAGACAGCGCUGUCGCCGGUCACGCAGGGUAAAGAUGUGUACGAACUGGAGGUGCUGCUUCGAAUCAAGGAGUCGGAAAUACAGUAUCUUAAACAGGAAAUCCACUCUUUGAAGGACGAACUGCAGUCGGCUUUGAGGGACAAGAAGUACGCCACAGACCGAUACAAAGACAUCUACACGGAGCUGAGCAUUGUCAAAGCCAAGGCGGACUGUGACAUUGGUAAGCUGAAGGAGAAGCUGCUCGUCGCCACUGAAGCUCUGGGGGAGAGGACUGUUGAUGGGGCCGUUACGUCUGGAUAUGAUAUCAUGAAAUCCAAAAGUAACCCUGACUUCACGAAAAAGGAUCAAUCAACCGCCCCCAAGUCAUCCAGAGGCGUGAGGUCAAAGUCUGUCACUGAACAGGUCACAUGGGACAGCUGACACUCCCCCUGUGGGGUUAAGCCCUCCCCCAAAAUCCGUCCCGGGAUAUGCUAGCCUGAAAGAGGGACUGACGGUGCAGGAGCGCAUGAAGCUGUUUGAGGCAAAGGAUUCCAAAAAGAUUUAAAUGUCAAGAAUCUGAAGCUUCUCUUUACCAGCCUUUGGGUUUUUUUGGUUUUUUUUUAUAUUUUGCUAUGACUCUGCCAGCAUCAUCAUCAUCAUCAUCAUCAUGGGACACAUGGUGUGAAAGGUGGAACCUUCUGCUUAAAUGGAACAAGUUUCUGCAUGUUGAAAAAGGUAUUUAAUGUUGUUGAAGUUGAAGAUGUGUGAAAUAAGCUGUGGGAGGGACACAUAACAGCCUUUUUAAUCAUCUUCCUGAAUGCCAAAAUGGAUAAGUAUAAUAAUAAUAUAUAUCUAUACUUCCUGAUAUGAAUUGUCUGCUGUAUUUUAUUAUUAAUGUUACGGUUUCUAUAUCUGAAUGGUUUGUGUUUAGUGUACAUAACUACUGGACAUAUACAGUAUGUGUAUGGUUUGUUGUCGAGUGUUGGGGCAUCUGCUGUACUUUAGUUUGACUGAUGGUGGAUUGUGUAUUUUAAUUUUUUAUAUCAAAUAUGUGUGAUUGGGGGAGAGAGGGCUGGGUGGUAAAGGGUGGGAUUGCACUUACAACUUGACUACUUGAGGCAGCGUUUUUUUGUUGUUUUUUUUGUCUCUAAUCGGUGGCGUGUUUUUCAAUGAUUAUUGCAGUGCAACCAAACAUGGCGACAAGUUCUGUGAUGUACUCCAAUCCAGUUUCAAGUGUGUGACUUUAGGACUUUGCAUGACUAUACUCUGUGUCAUUUCAUUGGCAAAUUGCAGCACGUGGCCUUCCUUUUUGUUUUUUGUUUUUUUUCGCCUACUUUAGACGCUUUUUUUUAGUGUGGAACCCUAAACCUUAAUAAGCUUUGCUUUUGCAAGUCCUACUGUUUCAGCAUUACUUCGAAGCACUUGUCCCCCCCCCCGCGUUAUUCUAGUUGUGCCUCAACCCAGUGAAGAACACCCAUUUAAAAAGCGGAAAAAACAAACUGUGCAGCUAUGGAAACACACUGUAUAGUAUUCAAAACCACGCUUUGUACACGCUUGUACAUAUAUCAAUAUCUAUAUAUAUAUAUAUAUAUAUAUAUAUGCCACAUGAAACACUUGUGUGCUCUUGUUUUAAACUUGCUUAUUAGCGCUAUAUGAAAAAUAUAUGGAUAUUUUUUAUUUUAAUGUAUAACAUGAAAUAAAUGAAGUGUUUGUGAGUAAUUUGUGAGUAAUAUGUGCACCAUUCAGGAAAGAUAUCCAGGUACUGUUCAUCAGAACUGAAGGAAUCAAUCUGUGUGCUGCUUUGAUUUUUUUUUGUCCACAAGAGGGUGCUAUUGACUUGGCCUCUGGCUUCAAGAAGAGAGACUUUGUCUUAUGAGAAGGAGGUAUCUGUACUAAUAACAUUUCUUGCUCAUUUUUUGCUAUAUUUUUUCUUAAAUAUUUUUGUACGUGAAGUACAGACGAUUUAACCUCUUCAGGGUCGAACCGAAGGUCCUCCUGCAAUGGCAGCUGACCUUUCCUUGGUGUCCUUGGUGUGAAGGCGUAGAAGAUGCUACAGGACAUCCAGUUUAGCAGCCUUCCUCGGGGGCACACAGGUACUUUGUGUGUGGUUUUUUUGUGUAAGUUAUUGUCGAGCUUGGGGGUCGAUGACCUUUGCAGCAGCGCAGGGUCUUUGAUUUAGGAGCAGAGACACAGGUGACACCUUCAGACGACUUUAGCUUGGGGGUCUGCUUGACUUUUUGGCCCAUGUCUGACCUGAUAAGGGAGAUAUGACACUUAAUAUACUGCAUGCUAAUACACCAUUCACUAACUGGCAGU